RNAcentral lists this ribosomal RNA (348 nucleotides) under Triticum aestivum (bread wheat). RNAcentral's name for it is "partial small subunit ribosomal RNA". Lineage: Eukaryota; Viridiplantae; Streptophyta; Magnoliopsida; Poales; Poaceae. The record is from RNAcentral.
AUGCUCGCUGCAAUUAGCUACUUGAGAAGAACAACAUGUCGGUGGCUGUUUUAUGUUUGUUGUAAUCAACUAAAGCUUCAUGCUUACUAUGAUUCAACAUGGGUAUGUAAUCCCGUUGAUCAUCGAUCUGCCACAAGCUACCACCUUUUUCUUGGUACUUCUCUCAGUGCAUGUAAAUGCAAGAAACAAACUACAGUAUCUCAUUCUAGUGCUGAAGUUGAGCUUCGAGCCCUUGCUACAACGACCUUAGAAAUUGUAUGGCAUCGCUGGCUCUUAGCUGAUAGAACACUUCUUUGUGACAACACAUUUGCAAUUCUAAUUGCAAAUGAUCCAAUUAGCAUGAACUGA